Long non-coding RNA from Gopherus agassizii (Agassiz's desert tortoise), 475 nucleotides. NCBI's taxonomy places the organism in Eukaryota, Metazoa, Chordata, Testudines, Testudinidae. The record is from Ensembl.
AACGCCUGUUGCUGGUGCAUCCUGAAGAAGCCUAGAGAGGAACAGAAGGUUCUGCAUAGGGAGAAGUGACCCAUUUACAGCUGGGUGCUAAAGGAAUCAGCGUUAACUAAACUGACACAUUUACAAUGGGAAAUGACAUCUGGCGAGUGUGCCUCCAACUCUGCUUUAUUACCAUUGUGUUCUCCAGAAGACGGGAAGGAAGAGCUCGGAUGAGAAUUACACCUGCACACUGACUGCCAGAGACAAGCUGCACAGCCAGCAUCACUGCACAAUUAACAUGAUGGAGAGGUUCACGCAGCACGACAGUUACAACAUCUUGCUACAAGGUGGUUUCUUUGGGAGGAAUCGCACAUACGUUGCUUUCCAGGAAUAUGAACCCAGUCUGAACAUUAAGUGUGAUCCCCCCUUCAACCUGCAGAGCAAUAUCAGUGCCAGUAAGUGCCAGCUCUGGUGGAGUGUGCCAGGGCCUCUAGAG